GGGAAACAGGCUCGGGAAGGCCGCACAGCCACUGGCCAGGGUCACCAUGUCCCUGCCAGACCCAGAGUAGGUUCCGGUUCUUGCCAGUGUCCCUGGCGCUGGCCCAGCCGGGAGCACUGCUCUGUGAGGGGUCCAGAAGCUGCCAGGGAGGGCGGGAGGGGGCUCCUGACCCUGCCCCCCGCCGCCCCUGGCCACCACCGCCUCUGCAGUUCCAGGGGGAAUGGUUUGUCCUGGGCCUGGCGGGCAACAGCUUCAGGCCGGAGCACAGGGCGCUGCUGAACCCUUUCACCGCAACUUUCGAGCUAAGUGACGCUGGUGGCUUUGAGGUGUGGAAUGCCAUGACUCG
This 346-nucleotide small RNA is filed under the name Pongo abelii (Sumatran orangutan). RNAcentral's name for it is "processed transcript". The record is from RNAcentral. Lineage: Eukaryota; Metazoa; Chordata; Mammalia; Primates; Hominidae.